This is a non-coding RNA of Phrynosoma platyrhinos (Desert horned lizard), 72 nucleotides long. The record is from the annotation of a GenBank genome assembly. Lineage: Eukaryota; Metazoa; Chordata; Lepidosauria; Squamata; Phrynosomatidae.
GACAGCGUGGCAUAGUGGUUUGAGAGCUGGACUCCAACUCUGGAUGCCAGGGUUCAAUUCCCGGCUCAGCUA